RNAcentral lists this ribosomal RNA (23 nucleotides) under Rhizopus arrhizus. RNAcentral's name for it is "Rhizopus oryzae partial 28S ribosomal RNA". The record is from RNAcentral. Lineage: Eukaryota; Fungi; Mucoromycota; Mucoromycetes; Mucorales; Rhizopodaceae.
UAUGAUCUGAAGUCAGGUGGGAU